AUGACAGUAAGAUUGGGGGAAUGUGGUAAAGGUGUUUCCAUACUUAGAGGACACUUUGCAUUGGCAGCACAUGCUUCAGUGAUCUGGGAGUGUUUAUAGUGCUGUGACUUUAACACUUCAUGACUGAGAGCUGCUGCUACAGCAACUUCACCCACAGCUACCAUGACUUUGAUCCCCGUCUUCAUCUGGACACUGAUCCUCUGGACUCAAGAAUGCAGAGGUCAAGCCACAGUAACUCAGACUCCUGCAGUGAAAUCUGUUCUUCAAGGAGAAACAGUCACCGUGAACUGUAGAUCCAGUCCGGCAGUGCAUGGUGGUAACUACUUACACUGGUAUCAGCAGAAACCUGGAGAAGCUCCUAAACUCCUGAUUAAAUAUGUAAAUCAGAGACAGUCAGAAUUUCCAGCUCGUUUCAGUGGCAGUGGAUCUGGAUCUGAUUUCACUCUGACCAUCAGUGGAGUCCAGACUGAAGAUGCAGGAGAUUACUACUGUCAGAGUGAACAUUCCAUCACUGGCUACUGGUUCACACAGUGUUAUAGAGUCGUACAAAAACCUCCCUCAGUCAGAUUGUAGAGAGACUGAACUGCUGCAGCUGGGAGCGACUGCAGGUGCUGAGUUGGAGGAUGUGAUACGACACAAUGACACUCUGUGGAGGAGAAGAACCACAUCACACUAACUUAAUCACACUGAACACAGUCCAUCACAUAAAUUGUAAAAUUUAUAGUUAUAUAAAUUUAUUGUGGUUCAGUGGAUAAUCUGUAAUUUCCUUCAGUCUCUGUCCCUAAUCCUGCCCCCAAGAAAGUCUCGGAUUCUGAUGAACAUCCUGUGGAGAUGAUUCUCCAUGUCAAUAUGUUGUUCUCUCGAUGGAGAAUUCUUUACUUACACCAUCUCACCUUCUCUCCUCAUAUUGCAUUAAGACUCUUCUCUUUCUUGGCCUGCAGGUUUUCUAUUUCCAAAAAAGACCAACUCCAUUCAAACACCAAACACUACAAUGAGAACUUUAUUUCUCUAAAUCUCCUCAUCUAGUGUUGUUGUACUGCUGUACUAACUAAUGCUGACUCAUCAUUAACAGUGAUUUAGCUUCAUAAUAUUUUAUUAGACCAUGAGGAUGUGUUUUGUUGGAGAUUACAAAGCACUUCUAAUUCUGGAAGUCACUCUGGAGAAGGAAAUCUGCCAAAUCCUGUAAAUGUAAUUAUCCCUGUGACAGAUAGUACAUUUCUACUUCCUGUGCUGUCCUCUGCUUCAGGUCUCCUUCCAGUCUGCUGCUUUAUUGAGUCAGGAGACAUGUAGCAUGGAGUUGUCUCUCUAUUAUAUCUCUCUAUUCAUCCUGUUGAUGACCCAGUUUUAUCCAUGAUCAUUGACUAAUGUUCUAUCUCUUCCUGACAUUUCAUUUACAUUAGAAGUAGCACAUUACACAAACUUCCCCUCCAGUUAAAUAUUGUUUUUGUCCCUGAAUGAAUGUUUUAUUGCUUUAUCCAAAAGUGAUGAAAGAAAAUCUGUUCUACGAUUAUUUUCAGUUUUUUACAUCAGUUUAUUCUUUAAUGUAUUUUAUUGGAAUUUGUGAAAUGUUUAAUUGUUUGAUGCAAAUUCUGACCAAUAAGAGAAAUAAGAAGUGAAAGUGAUCCUGCUCAAUACAUAAAGAGGAAGAUUUACUGAGUUACACACACACACACACACACACACACACACACACACACACACACACACACACACACACACACACACACACACACACAUUUGCAUGAACAGCUCUGAGACUCAGAAUAGAUCACCACUUUCAGCAGAUGUUCAUGGUUCUUCAGCCAAACUUACUCAAGCACAACACACAGUGCUGAACUCGACCUGCUGUUAAAGGUGCUGUUCCAAAUCGCUGACAAAGACACUUCACUCAUGAAGAAGGAGACCUGCUUUCUACAUAGAAGCUUUAUUUCAGCAGAGCUACACACUGACAUCACCUCAGACUACUAAGCAUGGUUUAAAGUGUACACUUGAAUUCUAGUGGACUUCACAGCGGCUCUUUCUGAACGAGGCGACCUGAGUGGUGUCGUGGUGGGAGACGGUACAGCCGAACACCUCGGCCUCUUCCCAGCGUUCUUUACUGAGGGUCAGG
Tachysurus fulvidraco (yellow catfish) is the source of this 2110-nucleotide non-coding RNA. Lineage: Eukaryota; Metazoa; Chordata; Actinopteri; Siluriformes; Bagridae. The record is from the annotation of a RefSeq genome assembly.